UGGGGAAUAUUGCACAAUGGGCGCAAGCCUGAUGCAGCCAUGCCGCGUGUAUGAAGAAGGCCUUCGGGUUGUAAAGUACUUUCAGCGAGGAGGAAGGCGUUAAGGUUAAUAACCUUGGCGAUUGACGUUACUCGCAGAAGAAGCACCGGCUAACUCCGUGCCAGCAGCCGCGGUAAUACGGAGGGUGCAAGCGUUAAUCGGAAUUACUGGGCGUAAAGCGCACGCAGGCGGUCUGUUAAGUCAGAUGUGAAAUCCCCGGGCUCAACCUGGGAACUGCAUUUGAAACUGGCAGGCUUGAGUCUUGUAGAGGGGGUUAGAAUUCCAGGUGUAGCGGUGAAAUGCGUAGAGAUCUGGAGGAAUACCGGUGGCGAAGGCGGCCCCCUGGACAAAGACUGACGC
RNAcentral lists this ribosomal RNA (399 nucleotides) under uncultured bacterium. RNAcentral describes it as "bacterial SSU rRNA". It matches the Rfam family "Bacterial small subunit ribosomal RNA", at positions 355 to 746 of the family's 1533-position model. The record is from RNAcentral.